UGCGGGUUCGUCUAAUGGUAGGACACUUCCCUUUGAAGGAAGUUAUUGGGGUUCGAGUCCCUGACCCGCAGCCA
Molecule: transfer RNA, 74 nt
Filed under: Candidatus Taylorbacteria bacterium RIFCSPHIGHO2_01_FULL_46_22b
Lineage: Bacteria; Candidatus Tayloriibacteriota
Description: tRNA-Gln
Rfam family: tRNA
About the family: Transfer RNA (tRNA) molecules are approximately 80 nucleotides in length. Their secondary structure includes four short double-helical elements and three loops (D, anti-codon, and T loops).
Source: RNAcentral